RNAcentral lists this ribosomal RNA (491 nucleotides) under uncultured bacterium. RNAcentral's name for it is "partial 16S ribosomal RNA". It matches the Rfam family "Bacterial small subunit ribosomal RNA", at positions 29 to 506 of the family's 1533-position model. The record is from RNAcentral.
AGUGAACGCUGGCGGUAGGCCUAACACAUGCAAGUCGAACGGCAGCACAGUAAGAGCUUGCUCUUACGGGUGGCGAGUGGCGGACGGGUGAGGAAUACAUCGGAAUCUACUUUUUCGUGGGGGAUAACGUAGGGAAACUUACGCUAAUACCGCAUACGACCUACGGGUGAAAGCAGGGGAUCUUCGGACCUUGCGCGAUUGAAUGAGCCGAUGUCGGAUUAGCUAGUUGGCGGGGUAAAGGCCCACCAAGGCGACGAUCCGUAGCUGGUCUGAGAGGAGGAUAGGCCACCAGGGAAUUGAACAAGGGUCCAGCCCCCGACGGGGGGCAGCAGUGGGGAAUAUUGGAAAAGGGGCGCAAGCCUGAUCCAGCUAUACCGGGGGGGUAAAGAAGGCCUUCGGGUUGUAAAGCCCUUUUGUUGGGAAAAAAAAGCAGCAGGUUAAUACCCCGCUGUUCUGACGGUACCCAAAGAAUAAGCACCGGCUACCUUCGU